UUACGCGAAGAAACCUUACCUACCCUUGACAUGCCACUAACGAAGUAGAGAUACAUUAGGUGCCCGUAAGGGAAAGUGGACACAGGUGCUGCAUGGCUGUCGUCAGCUCGUGUCGUGAGAUGUUGGGUUAAGUCCCGCAACGAGCGCAACCCUUGUCUCUAGUUGCUACGCAAGAGCACUCUAGAGAGACUGCCGGUGACAAACCGGAGGAAGGUGGGGAUGACGUCAAGUCCUCAUGGCCCUUAUGGGUAGGGCUUCACACGUCAUACAAUGGUGCAUACAGAGGGUUGCCAACCCGCGAGGGGGAGCUAAUCUCAGAAAAUGCAUCGUAGUCCGGAUCGUAGUCUGCAACUCGACUACGUGAAGCUGGAAUCGCUAGUAAUCGCGGAUCAGAAUGUCGCGGUGAAUACGUUCCCGGGUCUUGUACACACCG
RNAcentral lists this ribosomal RNA (433 nucleotides) under uncultured bacterium. Its description in RNAcentral is "bacterial SSU rRNA". It matches the Rfam family "Bacterial small subunit ribosomal RNA", at positions 957 to 1392 of the family's 1533-position model. The record is from RNAcentral.